Molecule: ribosomal RNA, 425 nt
Filed under: uncultured bacterium
Lineage: Bacteria
Description: partial 16S ribosomal RNA
Rfam family: Bacterial small subunit ribosomal RNA
Source: RNAcentral
GUGGGGAAUCUUAGACAAUGGGGGCAACCCUGAUCUAGCCAUGCCGCGUGAGUGAUGAAGGCCUUAGGGUCGUAAAGCUCUUUCGCUGGGGAAGAUAAUGACGGUACCCAGUAAAGAAACCCCGGCUAACUCCGUGCCAGCAGCCGCGGUAAUACGGAGGGGGUUAGCGUUGUUCGGAAUUACUGGACGUAAAGCGCGCGUAGGCGGAUUGGAAAGUUGGGGGUGAAAUCCCGGGGCUCAACCCUGGAAUGGCCUUCAAAACUCCCAGUCUUGAGGUCGAGAGAGGUGAGUGGAAUUCCGAGUGUAGAGGUGAAAUUCGUAGAUAUUCGGAGGAACACCAGUGGCGAAGGCGGCUCACUGGCUCGAUACUGACGCUGAGGUGCGAAAGCGUGGGGAGCAAACAGGAUUAGAAACCCUGGUAGUCC